CCUACGGGAGGCAGCAGUGAGGAAUAUUGGUCAAUGGACGAGAGUCUGAACCAGCCAAGUAGCGUGAAGGAUGACUGCCCUAUGGGUUGUAAACUUCUUUUAUAUGGGAAUAAAAUGUUCCACGUGUGGGAUUUUGUAUGUACCAUAUGAAUAAGGCUCGGCUAACUCCGUGCCAGCAGCCGCGGUAAUACGGAGGAUCCGAGCGUUAUCCGGAUUUAUUGGGUUUAAAGGGAGCGUAGGUGGAUUGUUAAGUCAGGUGUGAAAGUUUGCGGCGCAAACGUAAAAUUGCAGUUGAAACUGGCAGUCUUGAGUACAGUAGAGGUGGGCGGAAUUCGUGGUGUAGCGGUGAAAUGCUUAGAUAUCACGAAGAACUCCGAUUGCGAAGGCAGUUCACUGGACUGCAACUGACACUGAGGCUCGAAAGUGUGGGUAUCAAACAGGAUUAGAUACCCCUGUAGUC
RNAcentral lists this ribosomal RNA (460 nucleotides) under uncultured bacterium. RNAcentral describes it as "partial 16S ribosomal RNA". It matches the Rfam family "Bacterial small subunit ribosomal RNA", at positions 338 to 795 of the family's 1533-position model. The record is from RNAcentral.